RNAcentral lists this long non-coding RNA (1458 nucleotides) under Phasianus colchicus (ring-necked pheasant). RNAcentral describes it as "lncRNA (ENSPCLG00000019913.1)". The record is from RNAcentral. Lineage: Eukaryota; Metazoa; Chordata; Aves; Galliformes; Phasianidae.
AGAACUGUUAACAUAAGGAAAAACGUACCAACAAAGCAAGCUCUGCAUUCAUGGAAUGUAUCUUGUAUGACACUUUAUACUUUUUAGAGGUAGUGAAUAAAGCAUAGAGUUGGAGAAACAGAAGACCUGGUUUUGAUAUGAAACAACAUUAUUUUCAAUUUGACUAAAUAGCGUGGUCACACGGCACAGGUUCAGGCUUCAGUGAAUCUGUAAGGUGGUGGAUACUUAUAUGAUGUUGAUUAUGAGAAGUUUCCUUUAAGCAUGUUUCCCAAGAAGCAAGCUCACAAUUUUCCAGGUUAGUUCUCUGCCCAGAUAGCAAAGGGACACGUCAGCAUUUCUUUUUUGUUUUUAAUGCAAAUUUAUAGGAAUUAGUGUCAAAGUCAUAAACCUUAAGUGAGCCAUAGAUUCUGUAGGUUUGUAGUAAAAGUGUUUCUGGGUUUCACCAGGUGGGAAGUGAGCAAAGCAUUUGUAGCUUCUUAAAAUCUGUUCUAGGUUUCACAGUGACUUCACAUCUUCAAAUUCAGUUUUGAAAUGAGUGCCAUAUUUUGUCUACUUCAUACAGUACAUCUUUGCAACAAGCUUCCUUCUGCACACACUUUCUGGUUGCAGUGUCAGCCUACUCCAGUUUGUCAUGAUUGCAGCUGCCCAUGGAGAAAACACCUUUACAGAAAAAUUGCACUGGAAUCCCUGAACUGGCAAAGAUAAUUUCUGAGAAACAAUGGGCACUUUUCUCCAAAACUACAAGACUCCUGAUUAGUUUUUCUGCUUUCUAUAGAUUGCUGCUGCCUCAAAGAUAUGAAUUACUAGGGUAGCAUGGCAGAUAGAAUUUAGAUUUUUAUAGUGUGUAAUCAAAAUUUUCUAUCUUCUGCAGUCUGACUUGGCUGUGAAUAAUUAUUGUAACUUAACUCAGCAAGAAGCUUAGUGCCACGCAGCCUUUCACUCACUCCUCCCACAGCUUCUGCUGGGGGACAGGGGAGAGAACUGGGGGGGAAAAAAGAGCAUUAGAACUCAUAGGUUGAGAUAAAAACUAUUUACUAAAACAGAAAAGGAAAAUAAUAAUAGUAAUUGUAGUAAUAUGUAUUUACAAAACAAGUAACAUGCAAUGCAAUUGCUCACCAACUGCUGAUGCACAAUCAGUCCCUGAGCAGCAGUAGUAAAUUCUCUAGUAAAUUCUCCACAGUUUUCAAAAAUAUUUUUUCAUGAUGUUGUACAACACGAAAUAUUUCUUUGGCCAAUGUAGGUCAGCCUUCCUGCUUCUGUCCUAUCCCAAGAACUUGUGCCAACCUCCAGCCCCCUUGCUGGCAGGGCAGUUCAAGAAGCUGCAUACUUGUAAUAUCCUUGGCUCUGUACAGCACGGCUCAGCAACAACUUAAACAUGUCAUUAACAUUUGUCUCCUAAAGACAAAAUGUAGCCUCAUACUAGGAAAAAUAAAAUCAGGAUUCUUAAGUAUUAAUUCA